This 10109-nucleotide long non-coding RNA is filed under the name Homo sapiens (human). RNAcentral's name for it is "HSALNT0352561". Lineage: Eukaryota; Metazoa; Chordata; Mammalia; Primates; Hominidae. The record is from RNAcentral.
CAUAAUGACACCAAGCAACUCAUGAGGGAUCUGCCCCCCUGACCCAAACACCUCCAACUAGGCCCCACCUCCCACAUUAGGGAUGAAAUUUCAACAUGAUAUUUGGAGGGAACUAAUAUCCAAACUAUGUCAUAGAGGUAUGUGUGUAACCUCAUUCAUUUAUGCAUUCAUUCAACAAAAUAUGUAGUGAGCACCUGCUAUGUGCCAGGCACUGUGCUAGGCUGUAGAUAUGACUCAUAAAUAAGAUGAAUAUUGCCACAGUCCUUAGGAGCCUAGUGUAGUUGGGGAGUAAAUAAGCAAACAGAUAAUUUCUAUACCUGGUAAUUACUACCUUGAUAGGGCAAAGAGGAUUCUGUUUGUGCUGUAUAAGCACAUGAAAAGUACAAAGUCAAUCCUUGGGAGGUCAUGGAAUCUUUCCUAGGAAAUGAUAUAUAAGGUGGAUAAAAAGGUAACCAGAUACAGAUGAGAAGAGAAGGUGGGCCAGAAAUUUUGAAAUACUGAACCAACUGGAUGUCAUUCACUGACAUAGGGUAAUAGUAUAGAUGACUGGAUUGGAAAAUGAAAAAGGAACUAAAAGUAAUUAAAUGAGCUGCAGACAUGAAAAUGAACACUUGGGAAGUCCUGGCAGGAAGUCAUCAAUAAGACAACAUAAUGAAGUGGAAAGUGGUUGGGAGUAAGGCUGACUUGGAUUCAAACCCUAGUUUCACCACUUAAUAGACGUGUUACGUUGAACAAAUCCUUUAACUUUUCAGAGCCUCAAUUUUCCUCUUUGUAAAAUACAGAUAAUAACAUGGACACUAUAAGGGUUUUGUUGUUGUUGUUGUUGUUGUGAGACGGAGUCUUGCUCUGUUGCCCAGGCUGGAGUGCAGUGCCUCGAUCUUGGCUCACUGCAACCUCUGCCUCCUGGGUUCAAGCGAUUCUCCUGCCUCAGCCUCCAGAGUAGCUGGGACUACAGGCGCACGCCACCAUGCCUGGCUAAUUUUUGUAUUUUUUGUAGAGACGGGGUUUCACCAUAUUGGCCAGGCUGGUCUCGAACUCCUGAUCUCAGAUGAUCCGCCUGCCUUGGCCUCCCAAAGUGCUGGGAUUACAGGCGUGAGCCACCGCACCUGGCCCAGACACUGUAAGUUUUGGGGAGGAUUAAAUGGGAUCAUCCAUGUAAAUGCGCCUAUCCCAGUCUCUAGCACACACUGAACACUCAAAAAUGGGAGGUUUUGGUAUUUCAGAAGAAAAUCAGGUGUCGGGGAGUGUUAGUAGUAACCUUGAACUAUAUGCAAAGACUAAAGCUAGGAAGAUAGGAAGAGUUUUACAAGAUCCUUUUGGCUAUAUAGUUAAAGUUAUUAGCAGUUAGAGUUUCCCUUACAGUUGACAAGUGAACCAUACAAGUGAAUGACUUGUGGUUCCUCAGAUAAAAGCACGAGUCAGAGUUGUAAUUUCUGUUUUGUGGACGUAAUUGUUGACCAAGUGCACUGAAGGUAGGGAUGGCCAGUAGCAAAAUUAUAAAGCAGGCCUGUUUGUCUUCAAACACUCCUGAGUAAACUUGUCAUUUCCUUGUAAAAAUGCAAAAUAGACUACUGAGUAGAGGUGAUCAAUUACAGAAAUGCACUUACUUUGGCUUUCUUCUGAAACCUAAUAAAAUGACAGUAAAGGGAUUAUUUUUUUAAGGCAGAAACCCACAAUGAUGAUGAAAUUAGAAAGGAAGACAAGAACAACAAGGUUGUGGAAUUCAGAAGCCAUAUAGACAAGAGGUAACACACCUGAGAAAGAUGAUCCCUAAAUUUGUCUUGGAGAAAACUCAGAAGUACCUGACUACAUCAUAGACCUCCCAAACAGCUUCCAAAUGUCAGAUACCACUGAAAAUGGGGAUAAAGGUAGGGUCAAAAAUAGGAGGAUUGGGUUAUAAGUCUGUAUAAGAAGUUGUUAGAUCCCUACAUCCUCUCUUCAAACCUGUAUAGCCAGAUAAUGGUCCCUCUCCCAGCCUGGCAGAGGCUAGAUAAGGUAAAUAGAGAAACUUACUUCCUGGAGAACAUUUGGCACAUUUGGGGAUGGAGUUCAGUAAUAUAAAUGAAGGGGUAGUGAAAAUUUAUCGGAACAUUUAUAACCUAACAGAACCCCAUGUCUUUUACCCCAUUCUAAUUCCAGACCACUAGAGAUUAGAAAAUUAUUCUCUGGGGUAUCUGACCACUUCCAGAGGAAAGACAUAAAGAUGCUGAUGUCGAGAAUGACCCAACUAAAUGGCCCAGCCAGAUGACCCAGUUGAAGCUGGUGGACAAGAAGUUUCAUUCAUGGAAUCAGAACUUCCAAUAAGGUCUUUUAGUACCUCACUCCUAAAUUUGAAUAGACUACCAAAGAUUAUCAGACAUCUAAGGGGAACUACCAGCAUGAAAGGUAGAGACCAAAGCAAACAAACAAACAAAGAAAAUAAUUUGGAACUAACCAAGACUAUGCUGGGAGAAGAAAACUAUUAUUAAUAUCCACAGAGCGUAGUACAGCCACUAUGGAGAACAGUAUGGAGGUUCCUCUAAAGACUAAAAAUAGAACCAUCAUAUAAUUCAACAAUCCCACUGCUAGAUAUAUACCCCAAAGAAAGGAAAUCAGUAUAUUGAAAAGAUAUCUGCACUCUCAUGUUUACUGUAGCGCUAUUCAUAAUAGCCAAGAUUUGGAAGCAACUUAAGUGUCCAUCAACAGAUGAAUAGAUUUUUUUAAAAUGUGGUACAUAUACACAAUGGAGUACUAUUCAGCCAUAAAAAAGAAUGAGAAAUGUCAUUUGCAACAACAUGGUUGGAACUGGAGGACCUUAUGUUAAGUGAAAUAAGCCAGGCCCAAAAAAGCAAAUUUCACAUGUUCUCACUCAUUUGUGGGACCCAAAAAUGAAAACAGUUGAACUCAGGGAGAUAGAGUAGGAUGAUGGUUACCAGAGGCUGGAAGGGUAGUUGUGGUGGGAGGUGGGUGGUUAAUGAGUACAAAAAUAUAGUUAGAUAGAAUGAAUAAAUCUAAUAGUUGCUAGCACAACAGGGUGACUACAGUCAACAAUAAUUUACCGUACAUUUAAAAUAACUAAAAGAGUAUAAUUGGCAUGUUAGUUACACAAAAAAAGGAUAAAUGCUUGAGGCAACGGAUAUACCAUUUACCUGGAUUUGGUUAUCACACAUUGUAUACUUGCAUUAAAAUACCUGCCGGGCACAUGGCUCAUGCCUGUAAUCCCAGCACUUUGGGAGGCUGAGGUGGGCAGAUCACCUGAGGUCGGGAGUUUGAGACCAGCCUGACUAACAUGGAGAAACCCGUCUCUACUAAAAAUACAAAGUUAGCUGGGCAUGGUGGCUCAUUCCUGUAAUCCAAGCUACUUGGGAGGCUGAGGCAGGAGAAUCACUUGAACCUGGGAGGCGGAGGUUGCAGUGAGCCGAGACCACACCAUUGCACUCCAGCCUGGGCAACAAGAGCAAAACUCCGUCUCAAAAAAAAAAAAAAAAAUCUUAUGUUCCCCAUAAAUAUAAAUACCUAUUAUGUACCAAUAAAAGUAAAAAGUAAAAAGUUUCAAUUGAUUCACAACUUUAAAAAAUAUCCACAGAGGUGUAAGAGGAGAUAUUGUAUUGCACCCACGAACCAGUCUUAUGCUAUUUCAGAAAGGGACAUUCAAGAAACAAAAAGGGAGCUCUGGGAAAUUUGAACAAUAAAUAAUAGUAGAAUAAAAAAUUCAGAGAAAGUUUGGAUGAUAAAUUUGAGCCAAUCUCCCAGUAAGCAAAGCAAAAAUAUAGAAAAUGAGAGUUAGAAAAGAAAAAGAAAAAAAUUAAAGGACUAAAAUAAGAAGUCCAACAUCUAAAUAAGAGGAGAUCCACAAAGAGCAACAGAGAUAAGAGAAGAAAGGAAAUAAUCAAUAAAAUAAUUCAAGAAAAUCCAAGGACAUGAAUUCUCAGAUUGUAAGAGACUACUUGAGUGAAAAAAAAAAAAAAAAGAAUGGAGUUAGACCCAUCCCAAGGCACAUUAUUUGUGCGAUUUUAAAAUACCGAUAUAUUAGUUUGCUAGAGCUGCAGUAACAAAACACCACAGACUGGGUGGCUUGAACAGCAGAAAUUUGUUUUCUCAUGGUUCUGGAUGCUAGAAGUCUAAGAUCGAGGUGACAGCAGUUUCGUUUUUUCCUGAUGCUUCUCUCCUUAGCUCACAGAUGGCUGCCUUCUAGUUGUGUCCUCAUACUGUCUUCCCUUGGUCAGUGUUGUCUGUGUCCUCGUCUCCUCUUCUUAAAGGGACACCAGUCAUAUUAGGUUAAGAAUUGCCCAUUAGACCUCAUUUUACCUUAAUUACCUCUUUAAAGGCCCCACGUCUAAAUACAGUCAUAUUCUAAACUACUGGGGGUUAGGGCUUCACUGAGUGAAUUUUGGUGGAAAGUGGGGCAGGGGACACAAUUCAGCCUACAAAAACUGGAAACAAAGUGAAAAUCCUAUGUGUUUCUGUGCUCAGAAGACAGGAAGUAGUCAUACCCAAGAGUCAAUAAUUAAACUGGUUUCUCACCAGCAAUUUGGGAGACUGGAAGUCGGAAGACACAGAGCAGUGCCUACCACAUUCAAAAGAGAAAAGAGGCCGGGCAUGGUGGCUCACGCCUGUAAUCCCAGCACUUUAGGAGGCGAGGAGGAUGGAUCACCAGGUCAGGUGUUCAAGACCAGCCUGACCAACAUGGUGAAAUGCUGUCUCUACUAAAAAUACAAAAAUUAGCUGGGCAUAGUGGAACACGCCUGUAAUCCCAGCACUUUGGGAGGCCACAGAGGGCAGAUCACCAGGUCAGGAGUUUGAGACCAGCCUGACCAACAAGGUGAAACCCCAUCUCUACUAAAAAUACAAAAAUUAGCCAGGCGUGGUGGCGCAUGCCUGUAAUCCCAGCUACUCAGAAGGCUGAGACAGAAGAAUCACUUGAACCCAGGAGGUGGAGGUUGCAGAGAGCCGAGAUCAUGCCACUGCACUCCAUCCUGGGUGACAGAAUGAGACUCCGUCUCAAAAAAAAAAAAAAAAAGAGAGAGAGAAAAGAAUUCCAACCCAGAAUUCUCAACUUCACUGUGUCAGAACAUAUGAAGUAAACAAAUAUUCAUCUCUACAUUUGCCAGUCCCUGUGGACUUAGACCAGAUAGUAUAAAUAAUAGUCACAAAAGGAGUAUGAAUGGGAUAAGAAGCCACUUCUAGUCUGAGACAAUUAAGAGUAGUAGUGCCUUCUCUGCACUCUCACCGCCUCAUUCUGACAGCUGAAGUGAAGGACUCCCAACUUCUGGAACUGCCCAAUGAAAGUAGCCUUGUGUGAGUGUUAGCUGGCCUGCUUUGGUCUGGGAUGCAAGUAGAAAUAAACUCCUCUCAUAUUAAGCCACUAAGACUUUAGGGAUAUGUUGCUGUAGCAUAGCCUAAUGUAGCCUGAUUACUGAACGAGCCACCCCAUCAACUGAAUCUAUGUAUAUACUAAAAACAUUUUAAGAUACGCAAGGUCUCAAAGAGUUCACUCGAUGCACACUUUUUCUCAGGAAGCUACUAGAGGAUGUGCUCCACAAAAAAUAAAGGUAUAAAUUGUGAAAGAGGAAAACAUAGGAUUUAGGAAUCAAGGGAAUUCAGCACAAGACAGAAGAAAAGGGAAUCUGCAGCAAGAUCCCUGAGCUGUGCAUGUAACAUAAAGGGCAACAAUUUCCAACACAGAGCAGAUCACAAGACCCUAGGAUAGAUUUCUUGAAGAAAAUGAAAUUAAAAGAAUACUGGAUUCAUCUGAACAUACGAAAAGGAGAUUUAAGCAACUUUUUAAGAGCUUGGGAAUGAAUUAAUGAUAAAUAUAUGGUAUUAUGCAACCAAAACUACAAUAAAAACUCAUUAAAAAUUAUAACUCAUAAAAUUAUUAAUUUCAGGGAAAAUAAAAAGUUGAGUAGGAAUGAAAAAAGAAUCAGAGGAUACUAUAAAGCUCAUCUGUGGAUAUUGUUUACAUAGUCAUGAUAAUGAAAAAGAAAUAAUCUAACCAAAAUUAAACGUUGGAAGUGUGGGGAGAUAGAAAUGGUAGUGUAUUCGCUAUUUAUGUGUUGGGGAGGAUACCUGUAACUUUAACAUUAGUGAGCUUUACUUUACUAAGGCUAAAUAAACAAACUCAAGUGUCCAGAAAGGCUAGAGAAGGAGCUUACAAGAAUGAAGCUAUUGUGGUGUGAUUCAAUAGGGAAUAGGUGGGGCCUUGGCAACAUCAAUUUGUAGUAUCCCUGCCAAUUGAUACUACAACAUCAAUUUGUAGUAUCCCUGCCAAAAUUUAACUAUGGAAAAUAGUUAAAUUUUAAUAUGCACACAUCUGUGGUUGUGGUUAUACAGAUAUAUAUAUAUAUAUAUAUAUAUAUAUAUAAUAAAAAUUUAUAUAUAAAUAAAUACAUAAACAAACUCAAGUGUCCAACAGGGCUAGAUAAGGAGCUUACAAAAAUGAAGCAGUUGUGAUGUGAUUCAAUAGGGAAUAGGUGGGGCCUUGGCAAACCAAAGAACAUAUUCUAUCUAAAGUGGAUGGCCACAACUUGCUCCAGCUGUGGAAACUUGGGCCAUGUACUGCUAGAUCUAAGGAUUUUCUUUUGAGAGAUGCUAGAUAUAUACAUUUUUUAAAAAUAAAAUUAUCCUGAUUUUAACAACAUUGCCUUAUUAUAUAAAACAUACCUUGGAGGGUGUGGGUAAGACACAAUGUCCUUGAAAUUAUAUUUCACUGGGUUAAUAAAAUUGGCUCCGGAAGAAAAUAAUUUUAAACAGCAAACCAAAAAGUGAAGGCCUUCAAAACUAACAAACCAAAGGAAAACAAAACAAAAUGACAACAAGAAAAAAACAAAGAAACAAAACCCCUGGACCUUACCAUUUUUCUAAGGCAUGUUGACAUGAUAAAAUCAAAAUUGCUUUGUGCUUAUAAGGAUCAAAGGUUAUGCUUUUGACUUUAUAAAUUCAGAGAAAGAAUUUAAUUGGAAUUAUUUUUAUGAAUUAACUGAAGAUCUAAGGCAACUGGAUAAUUUAGGUUCUGCUAGUAUCUAGAAUAUUCAAAGUUUAUGUUUAGUCUGACACUAAAGAAUCCAUUAUUUCUCUUGACUUCCAGGCUGGUCAGUGUCUUUCCUGUGUCAUAUACCAAACAAUGUGUUAGAAAUUGUCUUCUCACUCAUAAACUAAUAUUUGUUCAGAGUAAAAAGUCAAGCAAGUAAAUAAUGAGAAAAAAUUCAGUGUAUUGUAUAAACAAAGACAGAAGGCAGACCAAUGGUUACCUGGGGCCUAAGCUAAAGAGAUUAAUUGUACACAGUCACAAAGGAAUUUUUUGGGAUGGUGAAAGUGUUCUAAAACUGGAUUGGGAUGAUUGUGGCACAACUGUAUAAAUGUUAUUAAAACUCAUUGAGUUGUACACUUAAAUGAGUGGCUAAGUUGUGCUUUAAUAAAGCUGUAAUUUUGAAAAAGAAUAAUGGAUGAUCAACUGUGAGCUAGAGUAUGAUGAAAACACAAGACAUUUACAUAGCUUCAAAGUAUCUCCCCAUCAGGUACUUAUUAACUGCAUCAGGGAAACAGUAAUUUUCUUGUGGCAGAACCCUGCUGACAAAGUUAACAUUCUAGUAAAAGCACAGGUGGAUGUCAUGUGCCUCCUGAAGUGAUGCACAGAGAAGGAUGCAACAUCAACUUGUAGUAUUCCUGCCAAAAAUAUAUAACCUGAAUUUAACCAUGCUGAAACAUAAGACAAAUCCAAGUGAAGGAACAUUCUACAAAACAACUGACCAGUACUCCUCAAGAGUGUCAAGGUCCUGGAAGACAAAGACUGAGCAAUGCUUCUGAUUAAAGUAGACUGAGAGGUGACAACUGAAUGCAAUGUGGGAUUCUGGAUUAGGUCUUGGCCCAGAAACAGGUCUUCGGUGGGACAACUGGCAAAAUGUGAAUAAGGUCUCUGGUUUUGUGAAUGGUAGUGUAUCGACGCUCAUUACCUGCUUUUGAUCAUGGUAGUGAUAGUAAGAUAUCAACAUUCAGGAAAGUACAGUGAAGGGUAUAUGGGAAUCUCUACUAUUUUUGUAACUUUUGUAAGUUGAAAUUGUUUCAAAAUGAGUUAGAAAAUUAAAAGGAAGUUUUCUCUUUCAGCUGGGAAAACAGCAAUGGAUUAAUAACAAGAAAUUAAUGGUGAAGUGGUGACGAAAAUUCUACAUUGCUUAGAAAGCAAAUAGUGAAAUGAACAUUUACAUUCUGGCAACCUCAGAAGUACAAUGAACAAAGGACACCAGCCAGGUAGGGCAAAGGCCUGUGCACCCCCUUUUGCUGUUACAUGUUUAUCAGAUGCGUGCUCUGUUUCUGUUAUAUUACAUUACUUUUCUCUUCAAUGUUUACUGAGGAAGAACAAGUAGCUCCUCAGGCAAAUCAACUGUUAACUUUGCAGUUUUUAUUUAAUCUCCCAGGAAUGUAACCCUUAACUUUAAAGAAUGUAGUGACCAUAAAACUUAUAAAGCAUGUUUCUUAAGGAAAUUGUACCUGUUUAUUUAAUCUAUCAGAUAUGAAUGUUAUAGAAAAUUAAAUUUGUCCACUUAAGCUGUAGAUGAACUUUUCACCUUUCUGAUCAGAAAUUCACCAUCUUAUAGUAUAGGUUCUGUUAUUAAUCAGAAUAUUUCAUUUAGACUCUUUCUAUCCAACUUUUUCUUAGAGGCUAUUCAAAAUAAAGGUGCUUCUAACAGUUUCAUAUCGAAAUACGAUGCAAAGCCUUGCUCUUCCAUGGUAUCCUUUGAGUGAGCCAAACUUAUUUAGCCAUUCCCCUAUAGUUAAAUAGCUAGGAUGUUUCCAACAUCUCACCUUUAAAACAAUAGUGCUAUGAAUGUCAUAAAUGUUUGUAUAUGUAAAUAUGUGGGAUAAAUCCCUAUCAGUAGAAUUUCAAAAGGUAUACGCAAUCAGUAUUUUCAUACAUAUUUAAAAUUUUCCAUCCAUACAAAGGUUGCUAACAUAUUUAUUUAAAAUUUUAAAAAUAAUUUUAUAUGCCUCUUGUAACCAGUAAUAGGAUGCCAAGUUUUUUUUUAAGGUAACAUUGCUCCUCUUCCCCCAUUGUCUCUGUCAUCUAUAGUACUCCCUGAGGUAGUUCAUGUUAUUGCAAGGGUGUGUAUCAUCACAAACAUAUUGCUUCCACAUACAUAUAUCAGCAUACAUAUAUAUAUAUAUAUAUGUAUAGCAUAUAUAUAUAUGAGCACAUAUUAAUAUAUGCCCAUGCACAUACAAGCAUGUUUUUGUUAAUUUUUACUGAAAUGGAAUCAUACUACAUACUUAUGAACAAAUUGCUUCUUUCACCUUAUAUCACUUAUAAUUGUUAUUCUACAAAUCAGUACAUAUAAAAAAUACAUAUUUACAUAUGUAAUACUCUAUCUUUCUGUUAUAAUUUUCUGCAUGCACAUGUAUGCAUAUACAUAUAUUCAUAAACAUAAAACUUAAUCUAAACGGGAUUUUUUUUUGGGGGGGUGAUAUGGUUUGGCUGUGUCCCCACCCAAAUCUCAUCUUGAAUUCCCAUGUGUUGUGGGGGGACCCGGUGGGAGGUAAUUGAAUUAUGGGGGCAGGUCUUUCCUGUGCUGUUCUUGGGAUAGUGAAAAAGUCUCACAAGAUCUGAUGGUUUUAAAAAGGUGAGUUUCCCUGCAUAAUCUCUCUUCUCCUGUCUGGUUCCAUGUGAGAUGUGCCUUUUGCCUUCCGCCAUGAUUGUGAGGCCUCCCCAGCCAUGCGGACCCGCCCAUAGGUGGAAGGGACUUGCCUUGUCUCGGAUGAGACUUUGGACUUUGGACUGUGGACUUUUGAGUUAACACUGAAAUGAAUUAAUGCUGAAAUGAAUUAAGACUUUGGGAGACGGUUGAGAAGCCAUGACUCAUUUUAAAAUGUGAGACAUGCCUUUCACCUUCUGCCAUGAUUGUGAGGCCUCUCCAGCCAUGUGGAACUGUGAACACACAGUGUUCAUCCCCUCAGGAGGACACAGCUUUUGAGGUACCAUCUUGGAAGCAGAGACCAGCCCUCACUAGACACAAACUUCCUGGCACGUUGAUUUUGGACUUCAUAGCCUCUAGAACUGUGAGAAAUAAAUUUUUAUUAUUUAUAAAUUACCCUGUAUUGGAUAUUUUGUUAUAGCAGCACAAAAGGUCUAAGACAAU